This 331-nucleotide ribosomal RNA is filed under the name uncultured eukaryote. Its description in RNAcentral is "partial 18S ribosomal RNA". It matches the Rfam family "Eukaryotic small subunit ribosomal RNA", at positions 1470 to 1796 of the family's 1831-position model. The record is from RNAcentral.
CCCUUAGAUGUUCUGGGCCGCACGCGCGCUACACUGUUCGACGCAGCGAGUCUUAACCUUGACCGAAAGGUUUGGGUAAUCUUCAGCAAAGUCGAACGUGAUGGGGAUCGAUCAUUGCAAUUAUUGAUCGUGAACGAGGAAUUCCUAGUAAGUGCAAGUCAUCAGCUUGCGCUGAUUACGUCCCUGCCCUUUGUACACACCGCCCGUCGCUACUACCGAUUGAAUGGUUUAGUGAGAUCUCUGGAUUGACGCUGGCUAGGGGGCGACCCUUGGCCAGACUGUUGAGAAACUGCUCAAACUUGAUCAUUUAGAGGAAGUAAAAGUCGGAACA